Long non-coding RNA from Corvus hawaiiensis (hawaiian crow), 1570 nucleotides. RefSeq lists it as uncharacterized. The transcript has 2 exons. The record is from RefSeq and is a predicted model, not a curated record. NCBI's taxonomy places the organism in Eukaryota, Metazoa, Chordata, Aves, Passeriformes, Corvidae.
CCCUCUUAGAACAAAUUAUUCCCAGGUAUGGAAUGAUUACUAAGAUAGACACACUUUACAUAAAAAGUUUUACAGCAACUAACUCAAGCCUUAAGAAUAAAAUGAGAACUACAUAGCCCAUGGCACCCAGAGAGUUCAGGACGGGUAGAGAGGAUGAAACAAACUUUAAAGAGAACCUUAACAACUGAAUUAAUAAUUGAAACUCAAAUGUCAUGGGUAAAAUGCCAACCUCUGGCUUUAUUGAGAGUUCAGACACAACCAGGUCAGACGUGAGAGUGUCACCUUAUGAAAUGAUGGUUGGUGUUGAAGAUGAAAGUUUGGUAAGAAAGUUUUGCAGAUAUGUGGGCUUGGCCAAGAGAUCUCUGAGUGUGGAGCCUGAGGAUGGGACAGAAAUGGAAGCAGGUUUUGAUGUAGAGUGGAAGAUGUUUGCUGAAACAUUGAUCACUGAAUGGAUGAGAGGACAAAGGUUGGAGAUGAGCUGGAAGGAGAUUUUUGUGCUUAGGACAGAGGUAUGUGACUGCAAACAAGGACAUGUUUUUCACCGGGUGGGUGGGUCCCAGGAAGAGCAGAAGUAAAUAGAAAACAUGUUUUUGCCAGGAAGAGAGCUAUGGCAGGCAGACAAGGAAUGUUGAUGUGGCAGGAAGAAGAGAGGUCUGAGAGUGUUCCAUUGUGAGCUUGAAUUGUAGCUUGCUUGCUCUUGUGAUUGGAUGGUGGUGACUCUAGGGUUCUAUAAGAUAUGUACAGUACGGUGGUGGUAGUACCUAAGAUAGGCUAUAGGCAAAUGUAAAGGUGUUGUGUAUGGUGCUUGUUGGUUGUUAUGUCUUGGGAUACUCAGCAAAGAAAGGUGUACAAUGCUCUCUUGAACAGAAAGCGGCUUCAGUUAUGCCUACAAGCUGUGGCUGACAGCUGUGGGGCUGGCUCUGGAUACCCACUCCCUGAAAUGCUUUUGUGACUUUUCCUAUGCAAUAAACAGCUUUCAAGAGAGCUGCCUGAAGUCCAGACAUCCUUCCUGAACCCUUUUCCUAUAGUUUGGGUUACCCUUUUUGAACACCCAACAUGAAACUGCUACCUAUGAAUUAGGGGAAUGAGUGUUAAAGAAUAUGUCAACACAAUUGCAAGGACCCUUGAAGAUUUGCAGUUCAAGGGGAUAAUCCCUCAAACCACUCCUUUAGACUUUAAAAUCCGUAACAUCCAUCCAGGGGAGUGGGUGUUAGUAAAAACAUGGAAGGAUCAAUCUUUAGCUGCACAAGGGAAAGGUCCUUUUCAGGUGCUACUGACAACUGAGGCAGCGAUCCAGGCCAAGGAGCGAGGGUGGAUCCACGGCAGCAGAAUCAAAGGACCCGUGCAGGAACCUAAGGAGUGGACUAGAACAUCUAAGCCUGGGGAUACCAAGUUCACAGAAACGACACUCUCACUGCACGAAGUGUCGAACGCCAAAUCUAUUCCCCAAUCCAGGCAGAGCAAAGAACAGCUGAAACAGUAACCCUGCUUUGUGGAUGGGAAUUACUAGUGCCUGUUGAAUGGGAGAUACCUGAGGAACGGUGGGAAGCUACAAUUAAGAAGUGUCAAA